This is a long non-coding RNA of Limanda limanda (common dab), 1493 nucleotides long. RefSeq lists it as uncharacterized. The record is from RefSeq and is a predicted model, not a curated record. Lineage: Eukaryota; Metazoa; Chordata; Actinopteri; Pleuronectiformes; Pleuronectidae. The transcript is spliced from 3 exons.
GGAGGGCAGGUCCGAGCCGGAGUAGGCUCUGGUUCGGCCGUUCGCAGCCGGCCCAGCGGGGGGGCCGCUCUGCUUUGCCCCCAUGUUGACCUCCACUGAUUCGGCUUUCAAAUAGUAAAGCUCCGCUGCGGGACAGUGCGCCAGAUGGCUGCGGGACACCCGGAGGCAGCAGCUACGAUCCCAUGGAGGUGAGCGCAGUGUCUGUCAGAGCCAAGUGGAACGGCACAGGUUCGACUUCUGUGAGGGAAACUUUACCCGCCGUCACCAUCGUCCUCCGUCAGUCCCGGUCGUGGUCGUGCUGCGGAUACCGCGGGUGGUUCCUCCGAGCCGCUGUGCUCCGGCCGCUGCUCCCUCCUCAGUGGCCGCUCCGCCAUGGCUCCUGAGCGGGGAGAGGGAGCGGAGAGCAGGGCUCCUCACACCUCCGACACAUGGCUUUAGAGAAGGAGGUGAUGGAGGAGAAGGUCCGGCAUCGAACCGUGUGAUCGGUGGCCGCGGGCAGACUGUAUGAGCAGGUUAGCUGUCAAGCCACCUGAGCUCGCCAGGGUUUCCGGGGAGGAUUUUCAAAAUAAAGGCACUGCAGUGUUUCAAGAGAGCAGACAUGCAGUGAACUCCACAUACUCUCCUGAGGGGCCAUGUGUGAACGCAGAUAUGUGGACUUCCUCCAGCCGUACCCCAGGUAUAAAGUCUGCAGGAUGUCUGAAGGAGCCAAUGUGAGAACACAGCGGGAGAUCCUCCGCAGGAUUCACUGUGAGCAAGCGGGUCGGCUGUGGCUGAGGGGGUCGUCCUCUGACUAGAUGGGGGUUUGAACCCAGUCUUCCCCAUCUGCAUGCCGAAGGGUCCUUGGGCAAGAUACUGAAGCCUAUCUCGUAAAAAAAGUGCUGCCCAUAGACACACUGUAUGAAUGUUUGUGUGAAUGGCAAAAGUGCUAUAUAAAUUAGACCAUUUAUACAAGAUUUAUCUCAACCACACAGCAGUUUAGCUGUUCUUCUUUUCAGUCUCUGCAUAUUGUUCAACCCACAGACUCUAUGGGCGAGACCUUGCACACAAUAACCUUGCAGUGCUCAUAUGUUUGGUGAACGGUGAACUGAAUGGAUCAGUCUGCAAAUACUGAACUCGAACCUGUGCAUCGUUUAUUGCACGAGACUGAACGGCACUCGCCUUUUAUGGCAACGUAAAAUUAAAGAUUUUAUUUCUGUUUUACAAAUCUUAAAAAGUUGGAGUGAACUUCCCGUAUGAAAACAUACGGUCGUAGCCCAUAACCUCCUGCAUCCAUAGCACAACAUCUGAAUAUUAUCUGUGCCAUGUUUUCGUCUUAUAUAGUUAAGCAGAGCAUUGUAAGGGAGGUCUUAACGGUCACCACCAUUCAACUGGGAGAAGAAGAAGAUGAUAUUUAUUGUGAUAAUCAUGAAUAUCAACUGAAUCUACAAAAAAGGGUGCAACAUUGUUUGUCAACGGUACCUUACGACGAAAUAAAAAUCGUUUUGAAAAAGCAA